RNAcentral lists this transfer RNA (71 nucleotides) under Loxodonta africana (African savanna elephant). It matches the Rfam family "tRNA". From Rfam's summary of the family: Transfer RNA (tRNA) molecules are approximately 80 nucleotides in length. The record is from Rfam by way of RNAcentral. Lineage: Eukaryota; Metazoa; Chordata; Mammalia; Proboscidea; Elephantidae.
GCAUUGGUGAUUUAGUGAUAGAAUUCUUGCCUUCCAUACAGGAGACUCAGGUUCAGUUCCCAGUCAAUGCA